RNAcentral lists this transfer RNA (67 nucleotides) under Olidiana obliquea. RNAcentral describes it as "tRNA-Gln". The record is from RNAcentral. Lineage: Eukaryota; Metazoa; Arthropoda; Insecta; Hemiptera; Cicadellidae.
UGUAAUAUAAUGUUUAAGCAUAUGAAUUUUUGAAUUUUAAAGUGAAACUUAAUUGUUUUUAUUACAA